UACGAAGGUGGCAAGCGUUGUUCGGAUUUACUGGGCGUACAGGGAGCGUAGGCGGUUGGAUAAGCCCUCCGUGAAAUCUCCAGGCUUAACCUGGAAAGUGCAGAGGGGACUGUUCAGCUAGAGGAUGGGAGAGGAGCGCGGAAUUCCCGGUGUAGCGGUGAAAUGCGUAGAGAUCGGGAGGAAGGCCGGUGGCGUAGACGGCUUUCUGGACCGUAACUGACGCUGAGACACGAAAGCGUGGGUAGCAAACAGG
This 253-nucleotide ribosomal RNA is filed under the name uncultured bacterium. Its description in RNAcentral is "partial 16S ribosomal RNA". It matches the Rfam family "Bacterial small subunit ribosomal RNA", at positions 524 to 776 of the family's 1533-position model. The record is from RNAcentral.